RNAcentral lists this transfer RNA (71 nucleotides) under Candidatus Liptonbacteria bacterium. RNAcentral's name for it is "tRNA-Pro". It matches the Rfam family "tRNA". Rfam says of the family: Transfer RNA (tRNA) molecules are approximately 80 nucleotides in length. Their secondary structure includes four short double-helical elements and three loops (D, anti-codon, and T loops). The record is from RNAcentral. Lineage: Bacteria; Candidatus Liptoniibacteriota.
CGGGGCGUAGUAUAUCGGCAGUACGUACCCUUCGGGAGGGUAAAGGCCGAGUUCGAUUCUCGGCGCCCCGA